AUGCGUCCCUUUCUGGCGUGCCGAAUAUGCAGAGCCCUUGAAAUAUUGGAAAUGCAAAAUGCGGCCUGGGCUCGCAUGCUAUCUUUAUCUGCGCACCCAGUUGCAUCGGGAUUUCCUGACCCAGAACUUGCCUCUCUCAACUCUUUGUUGCAGGAUGUGUCUACCUCACAGGAACCGGACACUAGGAGUCUGCUGAAUGGCGAAAAUUUCACCACGCGAGGCGCAUAUGCUGCCCUAUCCACCCAGCUCAACGACCAAGUCCUUGCCUUGGUUUGGGACUCACGGGUGCCGAAGAGAGUUAUGAUCUUCGGCUGGUUAUUUUAUUUGGAUCGCCUGAACACCAAGAAGAACCUGCGCAAGAAGCACAUCCUAAGCUCCGACAUCUGUCCUCGUUGUAACAACGCGGUGGAGGAUCGUGACCAGCUCUUCUUCACUUGUCCAGCGGCUCGCAGGGUUUGGCGUGCUACCGCUAUUCAACCUCAGUUCUCUCCGAUCGCUGAGUUCUUCACCUCUGCCGGGCCGCCUGCUCUGCCGACCACAAUCCAUCCCUUCUUGCUACUUCUCAUUCUCUGGAAAAUCUGGGAUGCUAGGAACAAAAAAGUUUUCCAGAGUCUCGAGAUUGAUGCGAGAGGUACGAUCAAAGCGAUUCUAGAUGACCUUAUUCUUUGGUCUCACCGUCUCAGGAUGGCAUUACUUAAGGAUCACGCCGGGCUGUGGCGUGAUUUCCUCUCCUCUCACACUGCGUGA
RNAcentral lists this ribosomal RNA (747 nucleotides) under Triticum aestivum (bread wheat). Its description in RNAcentral is "partial small subunit ribosomal RNA". The record is from RNAcentral. Lineage: Eukaryota; Viridiplantae; Streptophyta; Magnoliopsida; Poales; Poaceae.